Molecule: ribosomal RNA, 1360 nt
Filed under: uncultured prokaryote
Description: partial 16S ribosomal RNA
Rfam family: Bacterial small subunit ribosomal RNA
Source: RNAcentral
GGGGCAGCAGUACUUUUCGGAGUAGCUGGCGACCGGCGCACGGGUGCGUAACGCGUAUGCAAUCUACCCACUGCACAGGGAUAGCCCGUGGAAACAUGGAUUAAUACCUGAUAAUACAGGGAGCCCACCUGGGCAUAUUGUUAAAGUUUUAACGGCAGUGGAUGAGCAUGCGUCCCAUUAGUUAGUUGGUAAGAUAACGGCUUACCAAGGCGAUGAUGGGUAGGGGUUCUGAGAGGAUGAUCCCCCACACUGGUACUGAGAUACGGACCAGACUCCUACGGGAGGCAGCAGUAGGGAAUAUUGGUCAAUGGACGCAAGUCUGAACCAGCCAUGCCGCGUGCAGGAAGACGGCCUUCUGGGUUGUAAACUGCUUUUAUCAGGGAAGAAAAAAGCCUUGCGAGGCAAAUUGACGGUACCAUACGAAUAAGCACCGGCUAACUCCGUGCCAGCAGCCGCGGUAAUACGGAGGGUGCAAGCGUUGUCCGGAUUUAUUGGGUUUAAAGGGUGCGUAGGCGGCCUAUUAAGUCAGUGGUGAAAGGUAUCAGCUUAACUGAUGACGUGCCAUUGAAACUGAAAGGCUUGAGUACAGACGAGGUAGGCGGAAUUUAUGGUGUAGCGGUGAAAUGCAUAGAUACCAUAAAGAACACCAAUUGCGAAGGCAGCUUACUAGACUGAGACUGACGCUGAGGCACGAAAGCGUGGGGAGCGAACAGGAUUAGAUACCCUGGUAGUCCACGCCGUAAACGAUGAUCACUAGACAUUGGCGAUAUACUGUCGGUGUCAAAGCGAAAGUAUUAAGUGAUCCACCUGGGGAGUACGGUCGCAAGACUGAAACUCAAAGGAAUUGACGGGGGCCCGCACAAGCGGUGGAGCAUGUGGUGUAAUUCGAUGAUACGCGAGGAACCUUACCUGGGCUUAAAUGCAAUAUGACAGAUUGGGAAACCAGUCCUUCUUCGGACAAAUUGCAAGGUGCUGCAUGGUUGUCGUCAGCUCGUGCUGUGAGGUGUCGGGUUAAGUCCCAUAACGAGCGCAACCCCUAUCCUUAGUUGCCAGCGAGUAAUGUCGGGGACUCUAGGGAAACUGCCCGCGUAAGCGGUGAGGAAGGUGGGGACGACGUCAAAUCAUCACGGCCCUUACGUCCAGGGCUACACACGUGCUACAAUGGCGCAUACAAAGGGCAGCUACUUGGUGACAAGAUGCUAAUCUCGAAAGUGCGUCUCAGUUCGGAUCGAAGUCUGCAACUCGACUUCGUGAAGCUGGAAUCGCUAGUAAUCGCGUAUCAGCAAUGACGCGGUGAAUACGUUCCCGGGCCUUGUACACACCGCCCGUCAAGCCAUGGAAGCUGGGAGUGCCUGAAGUU